Molecule: long non-coding RNA, 777 nt
Organism: Papaver somniferum (opium poppy)
Lineage: Eukaryota; Viridiplantae; Streptophyta; Magnoliopsida; Ranunculales; Papaveraceae
Exons: 5
Source: RefSeq, a predicted model, not a curated record
UUCCCUUUUCUUCAGCUCAAAAUCAACUGAAAGAGAAAACCAAACGGAAAGAAAUCAGAGAAAUCGAGAGAAACAAUAAAUCAAAUCAAAACCUAAAAUUAAAUAAAAAUUAUUCUACUGAUUGUGACUUUGUGAACCUAAAAUUCGUAAACCAAAUUCUUCCCUUAAACCAAAUUGAUUUUUAUUUUUAGCUUGAAACUCUCAGAAGAAGAUUGAAUUUUUAGAAGUACAAACCGUAGAAAAUCUCAGAAUAAUAUUGAGGUGUAUAUUAUAGAAGAUUCAAUUACAAAUCCUUGAAGAUUCAGGUCGUUAAAGAGAACCAGAUUCUAUAUAAAGGUUCUCUUGGUCUAUUGUUAGCUUCAUUGGCGACUAUUGUUGGCUUCAAUGCUGUGAUGACCUCGGAACACUUCAUAUUAUUUUUGGCUGGGAUGAAUGCGGAAAAGGUGUUGCCACUUGCUAUACAUACGGGUUCGGAUUUUUAUGUAUGGUUAAAAUCCCAAGUUCUUGGAAUGGCUCUUGGGAUCCAAUGAUUUGAUAGGUAGUUGUUGUUAGAGUUGUUUUCAGUGUUAUUACUUUUUUUUCUCAUCUAUCAAGAAAUGAUGUUUCUUUUACAUUCUCAUCGAGGAAGCUGAAGAUCAGUGUGCCUUACUGAACUUAGACUGAUUAUGUGUAAGUUGAAAUACUAAAAUACGAUUGAUAUGUUUUGGUUCAUAGACUUAACAAAAUUGUAAUGUUACAAUCCUCGUUUUAAUUGUUGUUGUUGGGUUUGAUUUUGAA